AUUGAACGCUGGCGGCAUGCCUUACACAUGCAAGUCGAACGGUAACAGGUCUUCGGAUGCUGACGAGUGGCGCACGGGUGCGUAAUACAUCGGAACGUGCCCGAUCGUGGGGGAUAACGAAGCGAAAGCUUUUCUAAUACCGCAUACGAUCUACGGAUGAAAGCGGGGGAUCUUCGGACCUCGCGCGGACGGAGCGGCCGAUGGCAGAUUAGGUAGUUGGUGGGAUAAAAGCUUACCAAGCCGACGAUCUGUAGCUGGUCUGAGAGGAUGAUCAGCCACACUGGGACUGAGACACGGCCCAGACUCCUACGGGAGGCAGCAGUGGGGAAUUUUGGACAAAGGGCGCAAGCCUGAUCCAGCCAUGCCGCGUGCAGGAUGAAGGCCUUCGGGUUGUAAACUGCUUUUGUACGGAACGAAAAGGUGCCUUCUAAUAAAGGGCGCUCAUGACGGUACCGUAAGAAUAAGCACCGGCUAACUACGUG
Molecule: ribosomal RNA, 482 nt
Filed under: uncultured bacterium
Lineage: Bacteria
Description: partial 16S ribosomal RNA
Rfam family: Bacterial small subunit ribosomal RNA
Source: RNAcentral